This 1138-nucleotide ribosomal RNA is filed under the name Bacillus tequilensis. RNAcentral's name for it is "bacterial SSU rRNA". It matches the Rfam family "Bacterial small subunit ribosomal RNA", at positions 38 to 1172 of the family's 1533-position model. The record is from RNAcentral. Lineage: Bacteria; Bacillati; Bacillota; Bacilli; Caryophanales; Bacillaceae.
GAGGGGGGGUGCUAUACAUGCAAGUCGAGCGGACAGAUGGGAGCUUGCUCCCUGAUGUUAGCGGCGGACGGGUGAGUAACACGUGGGUAACCUGCCUGUAAGACUGGGAUAACUCCGGGAAACCGGGGCUAAUACCGGAUGCUUGUUUGAACCGCAUGGUUCAAACAUAAAAGGUGGCUUCGGCUACCACUUACAGAUGGACCCGCGGCGCAUUAGCUAGUUGGUGAGGUAAUGGCUCACCAAGGCAACGAUGCGUAGCCGACCUGAGAGGGUGAUCGGCCACACUGGGACUGAGACACGGCCCAGACUCCUACGGGAGGCAGCAGUAGGGAAUCUUCCGCAAUGGACGAAAGUCUGACGGAGCAACGCCGCGUGAGUGAUGAAGGUUUUCGGAUCGUAAAGCUCUGUUGUUAGGGAAGAACAAGUACCGUUCGAAUAGGGCGGUACCUUGACGGUACCUAACCAGAAAGCCACGGCUAACUACGUGCCAGCAGCCGCGGUAAUACGUAGGUGGCAAGCGUUGUCCGGAAUUAUUGGGCGUAAAGGGCUCGCAGGCGGUUCCUUAAGUCUGAUGUGAAAGCCCCCGGCUCAACCGGGGAGGGUCAUUGGAAACUGGGGAACUUGAGUGCAGAAGAGGAGAGUGGAAUUCCACGUGUAGCGGUGAAAUGCGUAGAGAUGUGGAGGAACACCAGUGGCGAAGGCGACUCUCUGGUCUGUAACUGACGCUGAGGAGCGAAAGCGUGGGGAGCGAACAGGAUUAGAUACCCUGGUAGUCCACGCCGUAAACGAUGAGUGCUAAGUGUUAGGGGGUUUCCGCCCCUUAGUGCUGCAGCUAACGCAUUAAGCACUCCGCCUGGGGAGUACGGUCGCGAGACUGAAACUCAAAGGAAUUGACGGGGGCCCGCACAAGCGGUGGAGCAUGUGGUUUAGUUCAAAGCAACGCGAAGAACCUUACCAGGUCUUGACAUCCGCUGACAAUCGUAGAGAUAGGACGUCGCGGUUCGGGGCAGAGUGACAGGUGGUGCAUGGGUGUCGUCGGCUCUGUCAUGAGAGCUGGUAAGUCGCGCACACGCAACCCUUGAUGUAGUGCACAUUCAUUCGCACUCUAGGUGACUCCCGUGACGACCGCAGGAAGUAG